UACAGAGGGUGCGAGCGUUAAUCGGAAUUACUGGGCGUAAAGCGAGCGUAGACGGUUAUUUAAGUCGGAUGUGAAAGCCCCGGGCUCAACCUGGGAAUUGCAUUCGAGACUGAAUAGCUAGGGUACGGUAGAGGGAAGCGGAAUUUCCGGUGUAGCGGUGAAAUGCGUAGAUAUCGGAAGGAACAUCAGUGGCGAAAGCGGCUUCCUGGACCAGUACCGACGUUCAGGCACGAAAGCGUGGGGAGCAAACAGG
Molecule: ribosomal RNA, 253 nt
Filed under: uncultured bacterium
Lineage: Bacteria
Description: partial 16S ribosomal RNA
Rfam family: Bacterial small subunit ribosomal RNA
Source: RNAcentral